Molecule: ribosomal RNA, 392 nt
Filed under: uncultured bacterium
Lineage: Bacteria
Description: partial 16S ribosomal RNA
Rfam family: Bacterial small subunit ribosomal RNA
Source: RNAcentral
AUACGGAGGAUCCGAGCGUUAUCCGGAUUUAUUGGGUUUAAAGGGUGCGCAGGCGGCCAUUUAAGUCAGCGGUUAAAUCGUGGGGCUCAACCCCAUUCUGCCGUUGAUACUGGGUGGCUUGAUUGCGGUCGAGGUUGGCGGAAUUUGUUGUGUAGCGGUGAAAUGCAUAGAUAUGACGAAGAACACCGAUUGCGUAGGCAGCUGACCAGAUCGCAAAUGACGCUCAUGCACGAAAGUGCGGGGAUCGAACAGGAUUAGAUACCCUGGUAGUCCGCACAGUAAACGAUGAAUACUUGUUUUCGGCGAUAUAAUGUCGGAGGCAAAGCGAAAGCGAUAAGUAUUCCACCUGGGGAGUACGCCGGCAACGGUGAAACUCAAAUGAAUUGACGGGG